AAUAUUGGACAAUGGGCGGAAGCCUGAUCCAGCCAUGCCGCGUGAGUGAAGAAGGCCUUCGGGUUGUAAAGCUCUUUUGUUGGGAAAGAAAAGCAGCCGGUUAAUACCCGGUUGUUCUGACGGUACCCAAAGAAUAAGCACCGGCUAACUUCGUGCCAGCAGCCGCGGUAAUACGAAGGGUGCAAGCGUUACUCGGAAUUACUGGGCGUAAAGCGUGCGUAGGUGGUUCGUUAAGUCUGAUGUGAAAGCCCUGGGCUCAACCUGGGAAUUGCAUUGGAUACUGGCGGGCUAGAGUACGGUAGAGGGUGGCGGAAUUCCUGGUGUAGCAGUGAAAUGCGUAGAUAUCAGGAGGAACAUCCGUGGCGAAGGCGGCCACCUGGACCAGUACUGACACUGAGGCACGAAAGCGUGGGGAGCAAACAGG
RNAcentral lists this ribosomal RNA (424 nucleotides) under uncultured bacterium. RNAcentral's name for it is "partial 16S ribosomal RNA". It matches the Rfam family "Bacterial small subunit ribosomal RNA", at positions 360 to 776 of the family's 1533-position model. The record is from RNAcentral.